CGACUUCCGCCCUGAUCCCGGAACUCGACCCCAGAGGAUCCUUGGAGGCCGCGAUGCGGUCCUUCCCCUGUCUCCCCGCCGCGCGUUUGAGUUUUCAGACCCAGGUGUGACAGGAUCCCGAGGCUCCUCCCAUGCCCACAGUCCAUUACUGUAGACUCGGAAGCCCGGGAAGGAAUCCAUUCGGCUCCCCGUCCGUCCUCGCCGGGGCAGGCGGAGGUCUAGAGGUUUUCUCCCUUUGCCAUCCCAACCAUGGCCCAGAAGUCCAGGGUAGACCCGCACGUCGGGCGGCUAGGGUACCUGCAGGCGCUGGUCACGGAAUUCCAGGAGACCCAGAGCCAAGACGCCAAGGAGCAAGUCCUCGCCAACCUGGCCAACUUCGCCUAUGACCCGGGCAACUACCAGUAUCUGCGGCAGCUGCAAGUCCUAGAUUUAUUCCUCGAUUCGCUAUCAGAAGAGAAUGACACCCUAGUGGAGUUUGCUAUUGGAGGCCUCUGCAACCUGUGCCCCGACAGAGCCAACAAGGAGCACAUCGUGCAAGCAGGAGGCAUUCCGCUCAUCAUCAACUGCCUGUCCAGCCCCAACGAGGAGACUGUGUUGUCUGCCGUCACCACGCUCAUGUACCUGGGCUCACCGGGCGCACACUCCCACCCUGAGCUGAACUCCACACCUGUGGUCCAGUGCAUGCUGCGCUUCUCUCUCUCCUCCAACACCAGGCUCCGGAACUUGGCCCAGAUCUUCCUGGAGGACUUCUGUUCACCAAGCCAGGUGGCAGAAGCUCGAAGCCUGCAGGCCCACUCUGCCCUGGGUAUCCCACUGCCAAAGACUGAGGCCCCACAGCAGUCCUGACCUAAGGAAGCCACAGUCCUGGUGUGUCUACAAGAAUCAUAAACUCAGUAUUUCUUAAGUCCAUUAAGAAACUGAAUGUCAGACUGGGUGCGGUGGCGCACGCCUUUAAUCCCACUCGGGAGGCAGAGGUAGGAGGAUGGCCUUGAGUUCGAGGCUAGCCUGAGACUACAUAGUGAAUUCCAGGUCAGCCUGAACUAGAGUGAGACCCUACCUCAAAAAAACAACAAAAAAAUCAGUGCUGAGAGAUGGCUUAGCCGGUAAGUGCUUGCUUGUGAAGCCGAAGGACUCUAGUUCAAGGCUUAAUUCCCCAUGACCCAAGAAAGCCAGAAGCAUGAGAGGGCACAGGCAUCUGCAGUUCGUUUGCAGUGGCUGGAGACCCUGGUGUGCCCAUUCUCCCCCCCCUCUCUCUCAAAUAAAGUAUAUUUUAAAA
Jaculus jaculus (lesser Egyptian jerboa) is the source of this 1276-nucleotide RNA transcript. It is a transcript of the gene named armadillo repeat containing 7, with no coding region annotated. The record is from RefSeq and is a predicted model, not a curated record. The transcript is spliced from 4 exons. NCBI's taxonomy places the organism in Eukaryota, Metazoa, Chordata, Mammalia, Rodentia, Dipodidae.